GACGAACGCUGGCGGCGUGCUUAACACAUGCAAGUCGAACGAUGAAGAAGAGAAACGCGAACUUCGGUUCAACUUUCACUUCGGAUUAGUGGCAGACGGGUGAGUAACGCGUGAGCAACCUACCUCUUACAAAGGGAUAGCCUCGGGAAACCGUGAUUAAUACCAUAUGGCACAUUCAUAAGGCAUCUUAAGAAUGUUAAAGCUACGGCGGUAAGAGAUGGGCUCGCGUCCCAUUAGCUAGUUGGUGAGGUAACGGCCCACCAAGGCGACGAUGGGUAACCGGCCUGAGAGGGUGAACGGUCACAUUGGAACUGAGACACGGUCCAAACUCCUACGGGAGGCAGCAGUGGGGAAUAUUGCACAAUGGAGGGAACUCUGAUGCAGCGACGCCGCGUGAGCGAUGAAGGAAUUCGUUUCGUAAAGCUCUGUUCUAUGGGAAGAAAAGGACUGUACCAUAGGAGAAAGCCCCGGCUAAAUACGUG
RNAcentral lists this ribosomal RNA (482 nucleotides) under uncultured bacterium. RNAcentral's name for it is "partial 16S ribosomal RNA". It matches the Rfam family "Bacterial small subunit ribosomal RNA", at positions 28 to 507 of the family's 1533-position model. The record is from RNAcentral.